GACGAACGCUGGCGGCGUGCCUAACACAUGCAAGUCGAACGAGAUCCAUGGGAGCUUGCUCCCGGAAGAUCUAGUGGCGAACGGGUGAGUAACACGUGAGAAACCUGCCCUGGAGUGGGGAAUAACUCGGGGAAACUCGAGCUAAUACCGCAUACCCUCGGAUGGUCGCAUGGCCGACCGAGGAAAGAUUUAUCGCUCUAGGAGGGUCUCGCGGCCUAUCAGCUAGUUGGUGGGGUAACGGCCUACCAAGGCAACGACGGUAGCUGGUUUGAGAGAACGAUCAGCCACACUGGGACUGAGACACGGCCCAGACUCCUACGGGAGGCAGCAGUGGGGAAUCUUGCGCAAUGGGCGAAAGCCUGACGCAGCAACGCCGCGUGCGGGAUGACGGCCUUCGUGGUUGUAAACCGCUUCUAGCAGGACGAAAUGACGGUACCUGCAGAAGAAGCCCGGCUAACUACGUGCCAGCAGCCGCGGUAAU
Molecule: ribosomal RNA, 481 nt
Filed under: uncultured bacterium
Lineage: Bacteria
Description: bacterial SSU rRNA
Rfam family: Bacterial small subunit ribosomal RNA
Source: RNAcentral